This is a long non-coding RNA of Helianthus annuus (common sunflower), 339 nucleotides long. RefSeq lists it as uncharacterized. The record is from RefSeq and is a predicted model, not a curated record. Lineage: Eukaryota; Viridiplantae; Streptophyta; Magnoliopsida; Asterales; Asteraceae. The transcript is spliced from 2 exons.
GGUUUUUGGUCUCUUUUAUUCUUCGUUUCCUGUAACCCGAUCCCGAUCAAAUCAGAUCUUAAAAGGGUGCGAUAGAAAGUUCGUUGUGAAUUUACAGGAAGACAAUGACGAUUCCAACAAAUUUGUUGUGUUGUUUGACCGAUAAAUGAUGUCAAAGAGCCGUUGAUCAAACCCCACUUAUGAUCUCAGCAAACACAUUCUGUCUUUCACAAUUAUGAUGCCAGGCUCCUUUAGACUUUGUAAACCGUCACUGGGAACUAAGAACUUGACUUUGUUUGGCUAGUCCAAAGGUGGUAUAUAUUCUUAGACAUUGAAUAAAGAUCGCAAUCCUUAUAGAUA